This 376-nucleotide ribosomal RNA is filed under the name uncultured bacterium. RNAcentral's name for it is "bacterial SSU rRNA". It matches the Rfam family "Bacterial small subunit ribosomal RNA", at positions 144 to 507 of the family's 1533-position model. The record is from RNAcentral.
UAACAUUUGGAAACAGAUGCUAAUACCGCAUAAACCUAACACCGCAAUGGUGUAGGGUUGAAAGAUGGUUUCGGCUAUCACUUUAGGAUGGACCCGCGGUGCAUUAGUUAGUUGGUGAGGUAAAGGGCUCACCAAGACCGUGAUGCAUAGCCGACCCGAGAGGGUAAUCGGCCACACUGGGACUGAGACACGGCCCAGACUCCUACGGGAGGCAGCAGUAGGGAAUCUUCCACAAUGGACGAAAGUCUGAUGGAGCAACGCCGCGUGAGUGAAGAAGGUUUCGGAUCGUAAACUCUGUUGUUGGAGAAGAAUGUAUCUGAUAGUAACUGAUCAGGUAGUGACGGUAUCCAACCAGAAAGCCACGGCUAACUACGUG